RNAcentral lists this ribosomal RNA (256 nucleotides) under Enterobacter cloacae subsp. cloacae. RNAcentral describes it as "partial 16S ribosomal RNA". It matches the Rfam family "Bacterial small subunit ribosomal RNA", at positions 1288 to 1533 of the family's 1533-position model. The record is from RNAcentral. Lineage: Bacteria; Pseudomonadati; Pseudomonadota; Gammaproteobacteria; Enterobacterales; Enterobacteriaceae.
GUAGUCCGGAUUGGAGUCUGCAACUCGACUCCAUGAAGUCGGAAUCGCUAGUAAUCGUAGAUCAGAAUGCUACGGUGAAUACGUUCCCGGGCCUUGUACACACCGCCCGUCACACCAUGGGAGUGGGUUGCAAAAGAAGUAGGUAGCUUAACUUUCGGGAGGGCGCUUACCACUUUGUGAUUCAUGACUGGGGUGAAGUCGUAACAAGGUAACCGUAGGGGAACCUGCGGUUGGAUCACCUCCUUACCUUAAAGAA